AGAGUUUGAUCAUGGCUCAGGAUGAACGCUGGCGGUAUGCUUAACACAUGCAAGUCGAACGGGACUCUUCGGAGUUCAGUGGCGGACGGGUGAGUAACGCGUGAGAAUCUGGCUCCAGGUUCGGGACAACCACUGGAAACGGUGGCUAAUACCGGAUGUGCCUAUGGGUGAAAGAGAAAUUGCCUGGAGAUGAGCUCGCGUCUGAUUAGCUAGUUGGAGAGGUAAAGGCUCACCAAGGCGACGAUCAGUAGCUGGUCUGAGAGGACGAUCAGCCACACUGGGACUGAGACACGGCCCAGACUCCUACGGGAGGCAGCAGUGGGGAAUUUUCCGCAAUGGGCGAAAGCCUGACGGAGCAAUACCGCGUGAGGGAGGAAGGCUCUUGGGUUGUAAACCUCUUUUCUCAGGGAAGAAGAUCUGACGGUACCUGAGGAAUAAGCAUCGGCUAACUCCGUGCCAGCAGCCGCGGUAAUUC
This 475-nucleotide ribosomal RNA is filed under the name uncultured bacterium. RNAcentral describes it as "bacterial SSU rRNA". It matches the Rfam family "Bacterial small subunit ribosomal RNA", at positions 8 to 526 of the family's 1533-position model. The record is from RNAcentral.